AGAGUUUGAUCCUGGCUCAGAAUCAACGCUGGCGGCGUGCCUCAGACAUGCAAGUCGAACGAUUAAAGCUCUCUUCGGAGAGUGCAUAGAGUGGCGCACGGGUGAGUAACACGUAAGUAAUCUACCCUCGAGUGGGGAAUAACGUCCGGAAACGGACGCUAAUACCGCAUAAUGCAGCGGCACCGCAAGGUGACAGUUGUUAAAGGAGAAAUUCGCUUGAGGAGGAGCUUGCGGCAGAUUAGCUAGUUGGUAAGGUAAUGGCUUACCAAGGCUACGAUCUGUAACCGGUCUAAGAGGACGGUCGGUCACACUGACACUGAAUAACGGGUCAGACUCCUACGGGAGGCAGCAGUCGGGAAUUUUGGGCAAUGGGGGAAACCCUGACCCAGCAACGCCGCGUGAAGGAUGAAGUAUUUCGGUAUGUAAACUUCGAAAGAAUAGGAAGAAUCAAUGACGGUACUAUUUAUAAGGUCCGGCUAACUACGUGCCAGCAGCCGCGGUAAUACGUAGGGACCAAGCGUUGUUCGGAUUUACUGGGCGUAAAGGGCGCGUAGGCGGCUUUGUAAGUCAUUUGUGAAAUCUCCGGGCUUAACUCGGAACGGCCAAGUGAUACUGCAAAGCUAGAGUGCAGAAGGGGCAAUCGGAAUUCUUGGUGUAGCGGUGAAAUGCGUAGAUAUCAAGAGGAACACCUGAGGUGAAGACGGGUUGCUGGGCUGACACUGACGCUGAGGCGCGAAAGCCAGGGGAGCAAACGGGAUUAGAUACCCCGGUAGUCCUGGCCCUAAACGAUGAAUACUUGG
This 800-nucleotide ribosomal RNA is filed under the name uncultured bacterium. RNAcentral's name for it is "bacterial SSU rRNA". It matches the Rfam family "Bacterial small subunit ribosomal RNA", at positions 8 to 820 of the family's 1533-position model. The record is from RNAcentral.